Molecule: ribosomal RNA, 475 nt
Filed under: uncultured bacterium
Lineage: Bacteria
Description: bacterial SSU rRNA
Rfam family: Bacterial small subunit ribosomal RNA
Source: RNAcentral
UCAGGACGAACGCUGGCGGCGUGCUUAACACAUGCAAGUCGAACGGGGGUUACAGGAGAGCUUGCUUGAAUGUAACCGAGUGGCGGACGGGUGAGUAACGCGUGAGCAACCUGUCUCAUACAGGGGGAUAACGCACCGAAAGGUGUGCUAAUACCGCAUAAGACCACAGGGUCGCAUGACUCAGAGGUCAAAGGAGCGAUCCGGUAUGAGGUGGGCUCGCGUCUGAUUAGAUAGUUGGUGAGGUAACGGCUCACCAAGUCGACGAUCAGUAGCCGACCUGAGAGGGUGAUCGGCCACAUUGGAACUGAGAUACGGCCCAGACUCCUACGGGAGGCAGCAGUCGGGAAUAUUGCGCAAUGGAGGAAACUCUGACGCAGUGACGCCGCGUAUAGGAAGAAGGUUUUAGGAUUGUAAACUAUUUUAGUCAGGGAAGAAAAAGACGGUACCUGAAGAAUAAGCUCCGGCUAACUACGUG